RNAcentral lists this ribosomal RNA (637 nucleotides) under uncultured bacterium. RNAcentral's name for it is "bacterial SSU rRNA". It matches the Rfam family "Bacterial small subunit ribosomal RNA", at positions 207 to 842 of the family's 1533-position model. The record is from RNAcentral.
GAGAGAUCCGGCAUAGGAUGGACAUGCGUCGCAUUAGGUAGACGGCGGGGUAACGGCCCACCGUGCCGACGAUGCGUAGGGGUUCUGAGAGGAAGGCCCCCCACACUGGUACUGAGACACGGACCAGACUCCUACGGGAGGCAGCAGUGAGGAAUAUUGGUCAAUGGCCGAGAGGCUGAACCAGCCAAGUCGCGUGAGGGAAGAAUGUCCUAAGGAUUGUAAACCUCUUUUGUCGGGGAGCAAAAAGGCUCUGCGGAGUCGUAUUGAGAGUACCCGAAGAAAAAGCAUCGGCUAACUCCGUGCCAGCAGCCGCGGUAAUACGGAGGAUGCGAGCGUUAUCCGGAUUUAUUGGGUUUAAAGGGUGCGCAGGCGGCGUGUCAAGCAAGCGGUAAAAUAGCGGGGCUCAACCCCGUCGAGCCGUUUGAACUGGCGCGCUUGAGUUCAGGCGAGGUAGGCGGAAUUCGUGGUGUAGCGGUGAAAUGCAUAGAUAUCACGAAGAACUCCGAUUGCGAAGGCAGCUUACCAGUCUGCGACUGACGCUCAGGCACGAAAGUGUGGGUAUCGAACAGGAUUAGAUACCCUGGUAGUCCACACAGUAAACGAUGAGCGCUAGGUGUCCGGGUCGCAUGAGACUUGG